This 728-nucleotide ribosomal RNA is filed under the name uncultured Alphaproteobacteria bacterium. Its description in RNAcentral is "bacterial SSU rRNA". It matches the Rfam family "Bacterial small subunit ribosomal RNA", at positions 79 to 842 of the family's 1533-position model. Lineage: Bacteria; Pseudomonadati; Pseudomonadota; Alphaproteobacteria. The record is from RNAcentral.
UGCUCCGGAUCCCUUAGUGGCGAACGGGUGAGUAACGCGUGGGAAUCUACCUUAAAAUGGGGAAUAACUGUUGGAAACGACAGCUAAUACCGCAUAAUCCCUUCGGGGUAAAGACUUCGGCCGUUUUUUGAUGAGCCCGCGUUAGAUUAGGCUGUUGGUAGGGUAAUGGCCUACCAAACCUACAAUCUAUAGCUGGUCUGAGAGGAUGAUCAGCCACACUGGGACUGAGACACGGCCCAGACUCCUACGGGAGGCAGCAGUGGGGAAUAUUGGACAAUGGGGGAAACCCUGAUCCAGCAAUGCCGCGUGAGUGAUGAAGGCCUUAGGGUUGUAAAACUCUUUCAGAAGUGAAGAUGAUGACGGUAACUUCAGAAGAAGCUCCGGCUAACUCCGUGCCAGCAGCCGCGGUAAUACGGAGGGAGCUAGCGUUGUUCGGAAUUACUGGGCGUAAAGGGCGUGCAGGCUGUUUGGUAAGUCAGAGGUGAAAUCCCUAAGCUCAACUUAGGAACUGCCUUUGAUACUAUCAUACUAGAGAUUAAGAAAAGUUAGCGGAAUUCCAAGUGUAGAGGUGAAAUUCGUAGAUAUUUGGAAGAACACCAGUGGCGAAAGCGGCUAACUAGCUUUUAUCUGACGCUGAUACGCGAAAGCGUGGGUAGCAAACAGGAUUAGAUACCCUGGUAGUCCACGCCGUAAACGAUGAGUGCUAGCCGUUUGUGUUUUAUACACAA